This 1354-nucleotide unclassified non-coding RNA is filed under the name Hevea brasiliensis (rubber tree). Lineage: Eukaryota; Viridiplantae; Streptophyta; Magnoliopsida; Malpighiales; Euphorbiaceae. The record is from RNAcentral.
GACACACCUUAUCAACAUUUACUUGAUUCAUGAGAAAGAGAAUCAUAUCUUCUUUUGCAUGUGGGAAUGACAAACCCUAAUUGAUAACCAAGCUCCACCGUUUGCAGGGCUUCAAGGUUAGUGUCGACCAAUCUUUCAGGCCAAAGAAUACAACCCUCGAGAGACCUACUAAUUAUUAUACACUUUUUUUUUUCUUUAAAUGACUCUUAUUAGAACUCGCGACCCUAAUACUAUUGAGUUAAAGCUUAUACUAUAUUAUUUUUAAUUAAGGUUCAAUUUACUUCAAUCCUAUAUAUGCAGGAUACAAAUACAGAGUACAUGAAUAAUUACGUUUAAAUUUAAAUCCCACUAGAGUUCUUGAGCAGCUACGAGCACUACUCUCCCGUAUUGCAUGGCAUGCACUAUGAGAUUUGAGGGGCGAAUUAAUUCUGUUCUCCAUAAUACCAGUCCAAUAGAUCCCAUUCCCACGAAGGUUGGCAAUCUAUGGGCAUUGGGAUGCUGCUACUAUCUCCUGUUUGAGGUGGAAUUGCAGCAUGGUCUUCUGAGGAUGAACGGAUCUCAGGUGAGUUUGAUAUCUCCGCCAUUGGAGGGUUUCGAUGAGAUGCUGUUGCCACAUCUCCUUGAAUAGCAGCUGAUUGAUGAGCUCUCAUCUCGCUGAUCUCAACUACCAAACCCAAUGGACGUCUAUCAAAUGCGCGCAAGCUUUUUGAUUUCUUGUACACCCGACACAGGCUGAAUUCAUGCCUCAACGUUAGUGUUGCAACAGUGGAUGAGGAAGAAGACGAUUCUCCUUGAAUAGCUUUGUACUCGUUCAUUUUCCAAUCGGUUUUGCGUCCAUUAGGAGCCCUUCCUCUAUAGAAAACCAUAGUUCUUUUCACGCCGAUGCUGCGAUUGUUAGAAUAAACAUGACCAGGAGAUCCCGUAGCUUUCCAGUAUCCCGCAGUUGUAAGCCUCUUUGGUCUUCCUCCUCGAGCUUCGCUCUCUUGCCUUGGAAUGAAGAAAAACCAUUGCUCUGGGUCUCUAUUCGAUAGAUCUCCAGCAUAUUGUGGGAGUUGCCAGGGAUUGAACUCAUAUAUAUCAAGAACUGGUAUAAUUCUGUCCAUGACUAGGUUGAGGUCAGGCCUCCUGCCUUCAAGCUUGUUAUGGAGAUAGAAUGAGACAAGCUCUUCUUCUGUAGGGUAGAAGCGAAAACCAGGUGGCAAAUCCCCCAUUUUAGUGGGAUGCAAUUAUAUGUAACACUCAAGGAGGGUGCGCAUAUAUAAAUAUAUAUUAUAAAGGGAGUUCUUGAAUAUGGAUCAAGAAAUUAUUAGCAGGCAAGAGAGCAGAAAGAGGGAGGAGGUCACGAGACGAGUGA